RNAcentral lists this ribosomal RNA (521 nucleotides) under Phomopsis sp. 11PG/L. Its description in RNAcentral is "eukaryotic LSU rRNA". The stretch from base 201 to 354 matches the Rfam family "5.8S ribosomal RNA". Lineage: Eukaryota; Fungi; Ascomycota; Sordariomycetes; Diaporthales; Diaporthaceae. The record is from RNAcentral.
CGUAGGUGAACCUGCGGAGGGAUCAUUGCUGGAACGCGCCCUAGGCGCACCCAGAAACCCUUUGUGAACUUAUACCUUACUGUUGCCUCGGCGCAUGCUGGCCCCCUCGGGGCCCCCUGGAGACAGGGAGCAGGCACGCCGGCGGCCAAGUUAACUCUUGUUUUUACACUGAAACUCUGAGAAAAACACAAAUGAAUCAAAACUUUCAACAACGGAUCUCUUGGUUCUGGCAUCGAUGAAGAACGCAGCGAAAUGCGAUAAGUAAUGUGAAUUGCAGAAUUCAGUGAAUCAUCGAAUCUUUGAACGCACAUUGCGCCCUCUGGUAUUCCGGAGGGCAUGCCUGUUCGAGCGUCAUUUCAACCCUCAAGCAUUGCUUGGUGUUGGGGCACUGCCUGUAAAAGGGCAGGCCCUGAAAUCUAGUGGCGAGCUCGCCAGGACCCCGAGCGUAGUAGUUAAACCCUCGCUCUGGAAGGCCCUGGCGGUGCCCUGCCGUUAAACCCCCAACUUUUGAAAAUUUGACC